This 599-nucleotide ribosomal RNA is filed under the name Phyllosticta capitalensis. Its description in RNAcentral is "eukaryotic LSU rRNA". The stretch from base 240 to 393 matches the Rfam family "5.8S ribosomal RNA". Lineage: Eukaryota; Fungi; Ascomycota; Dothideomycetes; Botryosphaeriales; Phyllostictaceae. The record is from RNAcentral.
CGGGCGCACGUAAGUUUAGGUAGAAGAUAUCUNUAAGGGUAGAGAGUACACUUAGCGCGCGAAAAUGACCUUCUCACCCUUGGUUAUCACUAUGUUGCUUUGGCGGGUCGACAUGGUUCCGACCCAGGCGGCCGGCGCCCCCAGCCUUAACUGGCCAGGACGCCCGGCUAAGUGCCCGCCAGUAUACAAAACUCAAGAAUUCAUUUUGUGAAGUCCUGAUAUAUCAUUUAAUUGAUUAAAACUUUCAACAACGGAUCUCUUGGUUCUGGCAUCGAUGAAGAACGCAGCGAAAUGCGAUAAGUAAUGUGAAUUGCAGAAUUCAGUGAAUCAUCGAAUCUUUGAACGCACAUUGCGCCCUCUGGUAUUCCGGAGGGCAUGCCUGUUCGAGCGUCAUUUCAACCCUCAAGCUCUGCUUGGUAUUGGGCAACGUCCGCUGCCGGACGUGCCUUGAAGACCUCGGCGACGGCGUCCUAGCCUCGAGCGUAGUAGUAAAAUAUCUCGCUUUGGAGUGCUGGGCGACGGCCGCCGGACAAUCGACCUUCGGUCUAUGUUUCCAAGGUUGACCUCGGAUCAGGUAGGGAUACCCGCUGAACUUAAGC